This 447-nucleotide ribosomal RNA is filed under the name uncultured bacterium. RNAcentral's name for it is "bacterial SSU rRNA". It matches the Rfam family "Bacterial small subunit ribosomal RNA", at positions 331 to 793 of the family's 1533-position model. The record is from RNAcentral.
CCAGACUCCUACGGGAGGCAGCAGUGGGGAAUAUUGCACAAUGGGGGGAACCCUGAUGCAGCAACGCCGCGUGAAGGAAGAAGUAAUUCGUUAUGUAAACUUCUAUCGACAGGGAAGAAAGAAAUGACGGUACCUGAAUAAGAAGCCCCGGCUAAUUACGUGCCAGCAGCCGCGGUAAUACGUAAGGGGCAAGCGUUAUCCGGAUUUACUGGGUGUAAAGGGUGCGUAGGCGGAAUGCCAAGUCAGCGGUAAAAUCGCGGGGCUCAACCUCGCUCCGCCGUUGAAACUGGCGUUCUUGAGUGGGCGAGAAGUAUGCGGAAUGCGUGGUGUAGCGGUGAAAUGCAUAGAUAUCACGCAGAACUCCGAUUGCGAAGGCAGCAUACCGGCGCCCAACUGACGCUGAAGCACGAAAGCGUGGGUAUCGAACAGGAUUAGAUACCCCCGUAA